CACGGGUCCGGGCCCUCCCGCGGGGCGGGUACUCGUCUCCCGGCCGAGCGACUUCAGCUUGGGGAACUGCCCCAUGGCCGCUCCCCAGCAGGACAGGGUAACCGCCGGAGUGGGGGGCUCCUUGUCCGUCCCAGCCCCCCCAACUCAGGCCCUCUCGCUGCCCCUGGCGACCACCGCGUGCGCCCUUCCCCAGGGCGGGCGCAGUCCUGGACGCCUCCGCCGAGCGUGACUGCCUGCAUUUUCUCUCCUUUCCCUUCCCAACCUCCGGAGAGAAGACAGCCCCAGAGCCGCUGUCUCCAUCCUCUGCUGAUGCCUGAUGUCUUUAUGUUGGCCUCGUCGUCCGCACUGCAGUGUGGCAGGGGCGUCCCUUGUUUCCUGCGGACUGAGUUCUGAGAGGAGAUCCUUAUCCCCAUCCCUGCCACAUGGGGGCAAACUGUCCAAGAACCAGGCCACUGAGAGGCGCAGACACCUGGCAUUGGGCAGAAGACCCAGUCCUGCCAACCAAACCUGGGUUUUGACAAAGUGAAGGUGCGUUUAACAAAUGGGUCCAGCAUUAAACCAGCGUCUAAGUAAGCACUGACACCUCAAAGCCACUGACAACAGAGAGGGCGUCCACACAGGAGGCAGAAUGCACAGUGCGGCGGGGUGGUGGGUCCCUGGGGUGGUGGGUCCCUCACCCGCGGGCCAACAACAGAGAGGGCGUCCACACGGGAGGCAGAAUGCACAGUGCAGCGGGGUGGUGGGUCCCUCACCCAUGGGCUCCCACGGCUCCUGCCACUCCCAGUGGAGCUGACGUCAGGGCGCCGAUGCCCUGUCCCUGAGGAUGGGGCCUUCCCACCCCCGCACAGGUGGGCCCAGCUGCAGCCACACCCCAGGGCCUCACUGCCUGGCUUCCUCUUGCUUGGGGUGACUUCUACACCCUGAUCUGAUGCCUGCACCAGC
This 942-nucleotide long non-coding RNA is filed under the name Pan troglodytes (chimpanzee). RNAcentral's name for it is "long non-coding RNA NONPTRT013893". The record is from RNAcentral. Lineage: Eukaryota; Metazoa; Chordata; Mammalia; Primates; Hominidae.